UUCAUGUUGUGUUAUGUUUGAUAACUUGGUUGAGUUGAGCUUAAAGUUGAAAAUGAGAAGAGGAACGUUCCACCAAUGAUCGUUAGGGUUUGGUCGCAUCAUCAUUCUUCAUGUCGAUCCUGCGCCGAUGUGUUUACCCUAUCAAGAAACAAGGACAUAGCGUGGAGCUUUCAGGAUUAUUAUUAUGUGGGAUAAAAGAUGAUACCCUGAGUUAUUUCAGUGGUGAAAACCUUGGUGGGUGUUUUUUUUUUGAUAAGCCACCUUGGUGGGUGUUACCCUGCUCUGUAGUGCAAAAUGGCUUUGUUUAAGAGAGAAAAGUUACCAUACUUCACCCUUUGUUGGAAAAUUCUUUCUGGGUAGUUGUGGGUUGUCUUCACAUGUUAAUGAAAAAAGUUGCAAUGAAAAAAUGUUUUGAAAGAAAAAUUUCUGGAAAUUGAGAAAACCCUUUCAGCUAAGCUUACUGAGGAUAUUACCAUGGAGGAAGAAGUCGAUCAGGAAUCUAAUCCAGAACCUAGACGCCUUGAUGAUCCUUUGUCAGAAUCUGAGAAUGAACUUUACCUCAGCCACCUUUAAAGAGAAAGGCUUCUUUGGAGUUGUUAAGAACCAUUAUGGACAGUCCAGCUUGCUACAUUCCCAGUAUUCUGGAAAGAUUUGUUGAAGCAGAGGAGGAUUUGAGCCAUUCAGAGGCUUCAAAGAUUGUAUUUAUUCUCUGGAAGCAUCAUAUGUAUUACAAGGCAUUGCAGAUUUCGGAAUGGUUGGAGACCACUAAACAAUUUGAGUUCAGUGAAAAUGACUAUGCUUCUCGUCUUGAUUUAAUAGCCAAGGUCCAGGGAGUUGAUGUGGCAGAAAAGUACAUGAAGAAUGUUCCACACUCUUCCAGAGCAAAGAUAGACCAGGACAAUAUGAAAGUCAUGUUGCAUUUACACUCCCAGGACUGUGUAGAGUUAUUUCAGGGAUAAAUGUAUUUGAUCCCAAGUUCAACAUAGCUGCACCUGGAGCUGAUCAGUCAGUCUAUUUCCCUUUUGGAGCAUUUAUACCUUUUGGAGGCGGGUCAAUAAUGAACAAAAAGAGGCAAAGCAAAGAUACAUUAAAAUGUUCUACAAUCUUAUGUUCAAGAAUUUGGUGAAGACUAUAAUUGUUCCAGGUGAAGACUAUAACUUGACAUGCACUCAGAUGUUGUUCAUAGCCUUAAUCAUACAUUAAUAGAAACGGUCAUUGAAAUUGGUUCUGUUGGAAAGGGUCUCAGUCAAGGUGUUAAAAACUUUUUUGCUCAUACAGAAGGGGUGAGAUCUUGAUUGAUCUGUCAACUAUGUGCACAUUCAUGGCUAUUAUAGAAAAUUUGUAGAAAAAAAUAUUUAUAUAUUAAUAUAGUUCAUUUUGAUUUAAGUUGA
Non-coding RNA from Cajanus cajan (pigeon pea), 1391 nucleotides. NCBI's taxonomy places the organism in Eukaryota, Viridiplantae, Streptophyta, Magnoliopsida, Fabales, Fabaceae. The record is from RefSeq and is a predicted model, not a curated record.